Molecule: ribosomal RNA, 906 nt
Filed under: uncultured archaeon
Lineage: Archaea
Description: partial 16S rRNA
Rfam family: Archaeal small subunit ribosomal RNA
Source: RNAcentral
CCCGACUGCUAUCGGGCUGGGACUAAGACAUGCAAGUCGUGCGCCGACGCCAUGCCCGUCGGCGCGGCGGACGGCUCCGUAACACGUCGCCAACCGAACCUCGGGAGGGGGACACCCUCGGGAAACUGAGGGUAAUCCCCCAUAGGGGUGGGCAGGUGGAAUCCCCCCACCCCGAAAGGGGUACCCAGGGCAAUGGCCGGGUACCCGCCCGAGGACGGGGCGGCGGCCCAUCAGGUAGUAGGUGGGGUAACGGCCCACCUAGCCUAUGACGGGUACGGGCGCUGGGAGGCGGAGCCCGGAGAGGGGCACUGAGACAAGGGCCUCAGCCCUACGGGGUGCAGCAGUCGCGAAACCUCCGCAAUGCGCGAAAGCGCGACGGGGUCAGCCCGAGUGCCACCCGAGAGGGUGGCUGUGGCCCGCCGUAAAAAAGCGGGCUUAGAAAGCGGAGGGCAAGGCUGGUGCCAGCCGCCGCGGUAAAACCAGCUCCGCGAGUGGUCGGGGCGUUUGCUGGGCCUAAAGGGUCCGUAGGCGGCCCCGUGUGUCCGCGGCUAAAUCCCGGCUCUUAAGGCCGGGACUGCUGCGGAUACUACGGGGCUAGGGACCGGGAGAGGCCGGGGGUACCUCCGGGGUAGGGGCGAAAUCCUGAGAUCCCGGAGGGACCAACAGUGGCGAAGGCGCCCGGCUGGAACGGCUCCGACGCUGAGGGACGAAAGCCAGGGGAGCGAAGGGGAUUAGAUACCCCCGUAGUCCUGGCUGUAAACGAUGCCCGCUAGGUGUUGGACCGGCUACGAGCCGGUCCAGUGCCUGAAGGGAAGCCGUUAAGCGGGCCGCCGGGGGAGUACGCCCGCAAGGGUGAAACUUAAAGGAAUUGGCGGGGGUCCACACAAGGGGAGGAGCCUGCGGCUU